Molecule: long non-coding RNA, 1481 nt
Organism: Tarenaya hassleriana
Lineage: Eukaryota; Viridiplantae; Streptophyta; Magnoliopsida; Brassicales; Cleomaceae
Exons: 2
Source: RefSeq, a predicted model, not a curated record
CAGCUGCUUCACUUUCAGGGCCCAUAGUUGUAGGUAAUGGUCCUGCAGAUUAUUUCAAAAGAUUGGCAAAAACAGUCAAAUCUCCUUCACUGCCGAAUUCUGAGACCAAACCAUGUGAUGAUGCUUUUUAGCAACAUUGCUCUAAUAAGCCAUACAAUUGCAUCUAUAAGUACAUCAUUUCUCUUACGCAUAAACAACGAUCAUCGUCUCUAUCAAACCCUAACUCUUCUCUAUGUUUAAACUUCUGUCGAUCUCUCCGCCUCAAAUCGUGGGAGCUCGCUGGAAGUCACCGGAGACAUGUGCGGAUCUACGAGCCAUUGAAGAUGGUAAACUGAUCUAUAGUCAUGUGAAUAUAGCAACUUCAGUAUCGACAUGUGCAUUUCUACUCCUAUGCUUGAUUUGUAUGCCAAAUGUGGGGAAUUUGAUAUGGCGUUGAAAGUGUUUGAUGAAAUGCCAAGAGAGAUAUUGUCGUGGGAAUGCUAUGAUUUUCGGGUUUUCUUUUUGUGGGCAUUUUACUGAAGCCGUAGGAUUGUUUGUGGAACCAUUGUUGGACUGUUUCCUGCUCUAGGAGUAGCUGGUGCAUUUAUGAAAAGGAAAGUUGUUCAUGGGUAUGACAUAUUUGAGUGGAAGGCAGCUGAGAAUGUGUACAAGCAGGAAUUUUCGGCGGCAGCUACAUGGAGACUAUUGUGGCAUGCUUCUCCAACAGUGGAAUGGGCUAACCUGGUUUGGUUCAAACAGGUUAUUCCUAGGUACGCCUUUGUACAAUGGAUGGUUAUGCAGGGGAGGCUGCCAACAAGAGACAGGUUGAUGCGAUGGAACGUUACACAAAACUCAACAUGUGUGUUGUGCAAUGAAGAGGAAGAGACGCAUGCACAUAUAAUUUCAUAUGUUCAUUCAGUUUGGAGAUUUGGUAGAUGUUGGCAGGGAGAAUUUGGACAACCCCCUGCCGAGUUAAUGAGAUGCCAUCAGUGGUUGGAACAUAUCUCGUCGACCGACGGAUAGGAAAGAAAAGUUAUGCUGAAGACACUAAUCCAACAUGCGGUGUACGAAAUCUGGAAGGAGCGGAACUCUCGCGUGUUCAGAAACGCUGCAUCGACUCCUCAAGCCCUUAGCAUACGGAUUGACAGAUUAGUGCGGACUACACUCCUCUCAUUACAGCAGGCCGGUCGAAGUAGAAGCAACUUCUUGCUUCAGAAAUGGUACUCUUGGACUAUAGAUUGAGAACUAGUCGUAUUCAUUGGUAAAUUAUGUUGCAAACUCAUUCCUUUAUAGGUUGGCUAGCGAAAGCUUUUAAUGUGGAUUUUUAUCCUGUACUAUGUACUACCCAUUUUUUAGUAAUAUAUUACACAUCUUAUCAAAAAGUUGUUCAUGGGUAUUGUACGAGAAUGAGUUUUAGUGAUGAUUUAGCUGUUAGCACAAGGACAUUAGAUAUGUAUGCCAAAAGCAAGUGCAUAAUCUAUGUGAAAAGGGUUUUUGAUUCA